RNAcentral lists this ribosomal RNA (117 nucleotides) under Candidatus Hydrogenedentota bacterium. Lineage: Bacteria; Pseudomonadati; Candidatus Hydrogenedentota. The record is from RNAcentral.
GCCGGUGGCUAAAGCGGCGGGGCUCCACCUGUUCCCAUUCCGAACACAGAAGUUAAGCCCGCCAGCGCCCAUGGUACUGCCCGGGUGACCGGGUGGGAGAGUAGGUCGUCGCCGGCU